RNAcentral lists this ribosomal RNA (22 nucleotides) under Metarhizium anisopliae. RNAcentral describes it as "partial 28S ribosomal RNA". Lineage: Eukaryota; Fungi; Ascomycota; Sordariomycetes; Hypocreales; Clavicipitaceae. The record is from RNAcentral.
UUGACCUCGAAUCAGGUAGGAC